Sciurus carolinensis (gray squirrel) is the source of this 339-nucleotide long non-coding RNA. RefSeq lists it as uncharacterized. The transcript has 3 exons. NCBI's taxonomy places the organism in Eukaryota, Metazoa, Chordata, Mammalia, Rodentia, Sciuridae. The record is from RefSeq and is a predicted model, not a curated record.
UUGGGACACAUGAAGCCAGUCCCACCUGCACGGAUGGGCACCUAGGAGUCAGAAGUACGACUGUGGAAAUAAGAUGAAUACAGAGAGGGCGGAGAAGGAAGAGUGGUGGCUGACAGCCAAGGGUGGCAGGGCCAUAUGACACUGGAAACUCAGGAGCAGGGACAUUUGGUAAGGGAGCCAACAUCUACAAGAAGAGCCAGAAAUAUUUGGGGUUUGUAUCUCCCUGAAGAGAGCCCUAACAAAUGACUCCAGCUUCCUUCUCCUUGAGUCAGAUUGCCCCAAGAAGCACCCAUCCCCAGAUGCCUUUACAACCUGCUCUUCCCCAACCGGACUUCUACC